This 479-nucleotide ribosomal RNA is filed under the name uncultured Smithella sp. RNAcentral describes it as "bacterial SSU rRNA". It matches the Rfam family "Bacterial small subunit ribosomal RNA", at positions 903 to 1382 of the family's 1533-position model. Lineage: Bacteria; Pseudomonadati; Thermodesulfobacteriota; Syntrophia; Syntrophales; Smithellaceae. The record is from RNAcentral.
AAAGGAAUUGACGGGGGCCCGCACAAGCGGUGGAGCAUGUGGUUUAAUUCGAUGCAACGCGAAGAACCUUACCUAGACUUGACAUCCCGGGAAUUCUUAGGAAACUAGAAGUGCCUUUCGGGGAGCCCGGUGACAGGUGGUGCAUGGUUGUCGUCAGCUCGUGUCGUGAGAUGUUGGGUUAAGUCCCGCAACGAGCGCAACCCCUAUUGUUAGUUGCCAUCAUUCAGUUGGGCACUCUAGCGAGACUGCCGGUAAUAAACCGGAGGAAGGUGGGGAUGACGUCAAAUCAUCAUGCCCCUUAUGACCUGGGCUACACACGUGCUACAAUGGUUGGUACAACGAGUUGCGAGUCGGUGACGGCGAGCUAAUCUCUUAAAGCCAAUCUCAGUUCGGAUUGUAGGCUGCAACUCGCCUACAUGAAGUCGGAAUCGCUAGUAAUCGCGGAUCAGCACGCCGCGGUGAAUACGUUCCCGGGCCUU